UAAUUAAUGUUUUGACAAAAUUUAAUUAUUUUUUCAGACAAUUUCAUUAUUUUUUUAAUGAUAAUGCAGAUCUUUUAAAAAAAAAAAUAUUGCAUUGACUACUGUCUUUUGAUUUGUCAAAAUGUUUGUGGAAUUUCACAAGACACAGGGUUCCAAGGGACUCCUUAUGAUUUUAUAUCAUUGACAAUAUUUGUUAGCAAAUUACCCCAUGCCACAUGUACAGAAAACACAUUUCCGAUUGUUCUUUAAUAUUACAAAUGUGAAAUGGGUAGCAAUAAUGUUACAAAUGUGAAAUAAGUAGCAAUAAUCUAAAACUGGCUAUUAAGAUCAGGGAUGGGGUAAUCGUAAUCUGUAAUUUUAAUUGUUUAAAUUUUUUCCAGUAAUUAAAGACAUUUUCGAUAACAUGAUAACAUGUAAUCGUAAUUUGAUGGAUAAUAGCCAAAAAUUAUGAUGUAAUCAUCGAUUACUUAAGACAAUCACAUUUCGAUUACUUUAGUAAAAUAGUAUGAUGAAAUAUAUUAAUCUAUUUUUGUUGAGCAGUCUGUGAAAAAUUUAAAUUGAUUGUCAAUUUGUGUGACAGAUAGUGAAAUUAGGCCAAAGAUUGAUUGUAAUUGAAUAGGAAAAAAAGGAUAAUUUUUUUACGACCGCAAAAAAGUUUGUGUCCGUAUAUGUAGCAUGUCGUCUUUUUUUUUGAAAGAAGGGGGAGGGGAAAAUUUUUUCUCAUUUUCUCAUUUCAGAUUCGAUUUUUUUUUGGUGGGCAUGGGGGGUCAAUUCACAACAGCAUAGUGUAUUGUACAAUAGCAAAAAAUUGAAUAUAAAUUCAAAUCAUAUAACUAAAUCUAAGUUCUUUGAUAACAGUUAUUCUAAGUC
This 870-nucleotide long non-coding RNA is filed under the name Mytilus galloprovincialis (Mediterranean mussel). Lineage: Eukaryota; Metazoa; Mollusca; Bivalvia; Mytilida; Mytilidae. The record is from RNAcentral.